Molecule: small nucleolar RNA, 80 nt
Organism: Andrographis paniculata
Lineage: Eukaryota; Viridiplantae; Streptophyta; Magnoliopsida; Lamiales; Acanthaceae
Product: small nucleolar RNA R38
Exons: 1
Source: RefSeq, a predicted model, not a curated record
AUCCUGGAGUGAUGAGAUCAACAAAUUACAGUUAUCCCUGUCUGAUUAACUGUGUUGAAAAGUUGUGAUCUGACAAGGAA